This is a long non-coding RNA of Rattus norvegicus (Norway rat), 667 nucleotides long. RefSeq lists it as uncharacterized. NCBI's taxonomy places the organism in Eukaryota, Metazoa, Chordata, Mammalia, Rodentia, Muridae. The record is from RefSeq and is a predicted model, not a curated record.
GACUCACGCUUUCAAAGGUCCCGCCAGAAGACUACGGAGCGGCACUGGGGCCAAAACUCAAGCCUUCGCGCAGUCCGCCCAGGUUUGCUUGGCCUUCCAGAUUUGACUUAGACUGAAGAAGCCUUCCAGAUCAAUGGCUAGAAAGGAAGCACCGAGGCAUUAAAAGCACUGGACCAGCAACCGAGCAUCUGGGAGAGAAGACUCAGCUCCAGCCCUGCAGAGAAAGAAUGGAAAGACAUAGGAAGGCCUUCACAGCUACCUGCUUGGAAGGCACAGCCCCUGCUCAACCUCAAAGUGUCAAUACAGCUUCCAGUAAGAAGUGGAAUCUGCUGGUUCUGGAAACAUAGGGCUUGCUUGAAAAACAAGAGCGCUUUAGAAAAUGUGUUAUGAUCUCAGAUGCAUAUAAUUGAUGAGAUCCUGAUUCCAUUGUGGUUCAGUGCACUGGGAAGAUGUGACAGGGAAUUCAAGCCUUCCCUGAGGGAAGAUGGCCACUGACAGUGUUCCAUCUGCUAUGAUUGCAUAAGACUCCAGGCUGGCCCUAGCAGCUGGCCACAGCCUCAGUGUCCUGACGUCAUUUCUGCUCCACAAUUCUCUUCACUCUAACUCAGCCAGAAAAAAAAGUAUCAGUUCUCAAUUUCCAAUGAAUCCAUGAAUGACAGGAAAUAAA